RNAcentral lists this ribosomal RNA (468 nucleotides) under uncultured bacterium. RNAcentral describes it as "partial 16S ribosomal RNA". It matches the Rfam family "Bacterial small subunit ribosomal RNA", at positions 28 to 507 of the family's 1533-position model. The record is from RNAcentral.
GACGAACGCUGGCGGCGUGCUUAACACAUGCAAGUCGAACGGAAAGGCCCUGCUUUUGUGGGGUGCUCGAGUGGCGAACGGGUGAGUAACACGUGAGUAACCUGCCCUUGACUUUGGGAUAACUUCAGGAAACUGGGGCUAAUACCGGAUAGGAGCUCCUGCUGCAUGGUGGGGGUUGGAAAAUUUCGGCGGUUGGGGAUGGACUCGCGGCUUAUCAGCUUGUUGGUGGGGUAGUGGCUUACCAAGGCUUUGACGGGUAGCCGGCCUGAGAGGGUGACCGGCCACAUUGGGACUGAGAUACGGCCCAGACUCCUACGGGAGGCAGCAGUGGGAAAUAUUGCACAAUGGGCGGAAGCCUGAUGCAGCAACGCCGCGUGCGGGAUGACGGCCUUCGGGUUGUAAACCGCUUUCGCCUGUGACGAAGCGUGAGUGACGGUAAUGGGUAAAGAAGCACCGGCUAACUACGUG